UUCAGUUUUUUCAUUUCUUCUUGCUAGAACGCCAAGCCCGAGUGACCAGUAGUAUUCCAGACCUCAGGAUUCUAUUUUCCAGCUUUUCAAAAUGAGAGGAUUGAUUGUCGUCGUGGUUUUGGUCACACUGAUGAUUUCAACUGAUGCGUUCCUGAUGCACAGCAGACAACGUUGCCUCUGUCUGAAAACAUUGGACUGUGUGAAUCCCAGAAACAUAAUCCAAUGCACUGUUCAUCAGAGAAGUCCAAUGUGUGACCACGUAGAGAUAGUGCUGAAGUUGAAAAGGCCAUUAAUAAACGUCUGCCUGAAUCCAUACUCUGUAAUGGGCAAGAGAAUACAGACCAAGUGGAACCUGAAGAACUGACCCAAACAUAGCACAAACUAUGUAAUGAUGAUGUAACUGACUGUACUGACCAAAAAGUAUAUGUAAAUGUAACUAUGUUGUUUUUCUCUGCAGUUUCAGGCACUUUACUUAUUCUACUGACAGUGAAAUUAUAAAGGACCGUGUAUUUCAGAGCUACAGGGUAAUGCCUAAAGCUUGUAACAACAUUCUAGAACAUCUCUGGUAUGACAAGCCUGUAACAACAUUCUAGAACAUCUCUGGUAUGACAAGCCUGUAACAACAUUCUAGAACAUCUCUGGUAUGACAAGCCUGUAACAACAUUCUAGAACAUCUCUAAGCCUGUAACAACAUUCUAGAACAUCUCUGGUAUGACAAGCCUGUAACAACAUUCUAGAACAUCUCUAAGCCUGUAACAACAUUCUAGAACAUCUCUGGUAUGACAAGCCUGUAACAACAUUCUAGAACAUCUCUAAGCCUGUAACAACAUCCUAGAACAUCUCUGGUAAGACCUGAUAAAUGAAUAUCUUUCAACAGAUACUAUAAGACUUCCUCCAUGUACAGGUUUCACCAGGGGAACGGAUCUCCCAAUCAGGUGCUCUGAUGUGGAACAAACUGAAUACAAAAGGCAGACAAACCAUAUAAAACUGGAUUUGUUUGCAGCAGCCUUGCCUUAAAGGUCAUUGGUUAGCUUUUGGGA
Coregonus clupeaformis (lake whitefish) is the source of this 1040-nucleotide long non-coding RNA. RefSeq lists it as uncharacterized. The record is from RefSeq and is a predicted model, not a curated record. The transcript is spliced from 3 exons. Lineage: Eukaryota; Metazoa; Chordata; Actinopteri; Salmoniformes; Salmonidae.